GGCGGGGUAGCUCAGCUGACGAGAGCGCACGACUCAUAAUCGUGAGGUCGGGAGUUUGAAUCUCCCCCUCGCUA
This 74-nucleotide transfer RNA is filed under the name Candidatus Servula neotermitis. RNAcentral describes it as "tRNA-Met". It matches the Rfam family "tRNA". From Rfam's summary of the family: Transfer RNA (tRNA) molecules are approximately 80 nucleotides in length. Their secondary structure includes four short double-helical elements and three loops (D, anti-codon, and T loops). The record is from RNAcentral. Lineage: Bacteria; Bacillati; Actinomycetota; Actinomycetes; Bifidobacteriales; Bifidobacteriaceae.